GGGUUGUGGCUCAGUGGUAGAGCGCUUGCCUAGCAUGUGUGAGGCCCUGGGUUCAAUCCUCAGUAACUCA
Molecule: transfer RNA, 70 nt
Filed under: Marmota monax (woodchuck)
Lineage: Eukaryota; Metazoa; Chordata; Mammalia; Rodentia; Sciuridae
Description: tRNA.Ala
Rfam family: tRNA
About the family: Transfer RNA (tRNA) molecules are approximately 80 nucleotides in length. Their secondary structure includes four short double-helical elements and three loops (D, anti-codon, and T loops).
Source: RNAcentral